This is a long non-coding RNA of Patiria miniata (bat star), 332 nucleotides long. RefSeq lists it as uncharacterized. The record is from RefSeq and is a predicted model, not a curated record. Lineage: Eukaryota; Metazoa; Echinodermata; Asteroidea; Valvatida; Asterinidae. The transcript is spliced from 3 exons.
CGCAACUGCAGGAGUUGCACUUGUCCAGAAGGCACACGGAGGAGUAGGAACGAAGCGUUUUGCAAACGACCGCCAGAAGACUGUAGCACCACUCCAGCAACGACUGAAACGGAGCAACCAACAACAGAGUCAACGACAGCAGUCAGCCCAACAAAAUCUACAACUGAAUCAACAACAGCGGAAACUACCACUCCAUCCUUUUGUGACGACAACUGCGUCUGUCCGGUGAACUGUGAUGGUAAACUCCUGAACAAAGCCUGCCGACGUCAGGUUCCUCGCAAAUGCAGGAGUUGCACUUGUCCAGAAGGCACACGGAGGAGUAGGAACGAAGC